RNAcentral lists this ribosomal RNA (531 nucleotides) under uncultured Enterobacterales bacterium. RNAcentral describes it as "bacterial SSU rRNA". It matches the Rfam family "Bacterial small subunit ribosomal RNA", at positions 8 to 528 of the family's 1533-position model. The record is from RNAcentral. Lineage: Bacteria; Pseudomonadati; Pseudomonadota; Gammaproteobacteria; Enterobacterales.
AGAGUUUGAUCCUGGCUCAGAUUGAACGCUGGCGGCAGGCCUAACACAUGCAAGUCGAACGGUAGCACAGAGGAGCUUGCUCCUUGGGUGACGAGUGGCGGACGGGUGAGUAAUGUCUGGGAAACUGCCCGAUGGAGGGGGAUAACUACUGGAAACGGUAGCUAAUACCGCAUAACGUCGCAAGACCAAAGAGGGGGACCUUCGGGCCUCUUGCCAUCGGAUGUGCCCAGAUGGGAUUAGCUAGUAGGUGGGGUAACGGCUCACCUAGGCGACGAUCCCUAGCUGGUCUGAGAGGAUGACCAGCCACACUGGAACUGAGACACGGUCCAGACUCCUACGGGAGGCAGCAGUGGGGAAUAUUGCACAAUGGGCGCAAGCCUGAUGCAGCCAUGCCGCGUGUAUGAAGAAGGCCUUCGGGUUGUAAAGUACUUUCAGCGAGGAGGAAGGCAUUAAGGUUAAUAACCUUAGUGAUUGACGUCACUCGCAGAAGAAGCACCGGCUAACUCCGUGCCAGCCGCCGCGGUAAAAGGG